Molecule: transfer RNA, 62 nt
Filed under: Olidiana ritcheri
Lineage: Eukaryota; Metazoa; Arthropoda; Insecta; Hemiptera; Cicadellidae
Description: tRNA-Ile
Source: RNAcentral
AAUUAGGUGCCUGAAAAAAGGAUUAUUUUGAUAGAAUAAAAAAUGUAUAAUUACCCUAAUUA